This 473-nucleotide ribosomal RNA is filed under the name uncultured bacterium. RNAcentral describes it as "partial 16S ribosomal RNA". It matches the Rfam family "Bacterial small subunit ribosomal RNA", at positions 28 to 507 of the family's 1533-position model. The record is from RNAcentral.
GAUGAACGCUAGCGGCAGGCCUAAUACAUGCAAGUCGAACGGGUGGUCGCAAGACCACUAGUGGCGCACGGGUGCGUAACGCGUAACCAACCUGCCCCGAUCUGGGGGAUAGCCCGCCGAAAGGCGGAUUAAUACCGCAUAUACCCGCAGCCUGGCAUCAGGCAACGGGGAAAGAUUUAUUGGAUCGGGAUGGGGUUGCGUGACAUUAGCUAGUUGGCGGGGUAAGGGCCCACCAAGGCGACGAUGUCUAGGGGACCUGAGAGGGUGAUCCCCCACACUGGCACUGAGAUACGGGCCAGACUCCUACGGGAGGCAGCAGUAGGGAAUAUUGGGCAAGGGGCGAGAGCCUGACCCAGCCAUGCCGCGUGCCGGAUGAAGGCCUUCUGGGUUGUAAACGGCUUUUCUCAGGGAAGAAAAAGACCUUGCGAGGUACACUGACGGUACCUGAGGAAUAAGCACCGGCUAACUCCGUG